UACGUAGGGGGCGAGCGUUGUCCGGAUUUAUUGGGCGUAAAGAGCUCGUAGGCGGUUUGGUAAGUCGGGUGUGAAAUCUCCACGCUCAACGUGGAGGGGCCACUCGAUACUGCCAUGACUCGAGUCCGGUAGAGGAGUGUGGAAUUCCCGGUGUAGCGGUGAAGUGCGCAGAUAUCGGGAGGAACACCCGUAGCGAAGGAGGCACUCUGGGCCGGAACUGACGCUGAGGAGCGAAAGCGUGGGGAGCAAACAGG
RNAcentral lists this ribosomal RNA (254 nucleotides) under uncultured bacterium. RNAcentral describes it as "partial 16S ribosomal RNA". It matches the Rfam family "Bacterial small subunit ribosomal RNA", at positions 524 to 776 of the family's 1533-position model. The record is from RNAcentral.